UGGCAGAUUAGUGUAAUGAAUUUAGAAUUCAUAUAUGUAAAUAUUUUACAAAUAAUAUAAUUUUUUAAAUUUUUAGUAUAUUUUAUAGAAAAAAUUUUAUUAAUUAUAGUUGAUUUGUAUUGUAAAAGAUAAUUUAAAUAAUUAUUUAAUUUUUAAUAAGUAAAGUUUAUUUUUUGUACCUUGUGUAUCAGGGUUUAUUAAAUAAAUAUUAAGUAAUUUAAUUUUCUCGAUUUUAAGAGAGCUAAUAAAUUAUUUUUUUUAUUGUUAAAUAAAUAUUUAUAAUAAUUUGUUAGUAAUGAAAUGUUAUUCGUUCUUAAAUAUAUCUAGUUUAUUUAGAAAUGAAUUUAAUUCAAAUAUUUAAAUUUUAAUAAAUUAAUUUAUUAAUUUAUUAUAUUUAAAUAUUAAUAAUUAAAGGGAUUAGCUUUUAAUUAAAAAUUUAUAAAUAAAGUAAAAUAAAUUAAAAAAUGUAAGUUUAGAAAUAUCUAUCAAUAGUAAUAUGUUAUAAUUAAUUUAAUAAUUUAUAUUAUUUUAUAUUAUUUUAAAUUUUUUAUAAAUAAAUAAUUUUAAAUUAUUUUAAAAUUAGGUAUAAUGAUAAAAUUAGUAUAUAUAAAAUAUUUAAAUAAUAAUGUUAUAAAGAUUAUUUAAAGGAAUUCGGCAAAAAUUUUACUCGCCUGUUUAACAAAAACAUGUCUUUUUGUAAUAUAUUUAAAGUCUAACCUGCCCACUGAAAAUUUUAAAUGGCCGCAGUAUUUUGACUGUGCAAAGGUAGCAUAAUCAUUAGUUUUUUAAUUAAAAGCUUGUAUGAAAGGUUGGACGAAGUAAAUUCUGUCUCUAUUUAAUUUACUAUAGAAUUUAAUUUUUAAGUUAAAAAGCUUAAAUUUAUAUAAAAGACGAGAAGACCCUAUAGAGCUUUAUAAUUUGUUUAAUAUUAUUAAUUAUGAUUUAUUAAGAUUUUAUUAUAAUUUAUUAUUUUAUUGGGGUAAUAGGAAGAUUAAUAAAAUUCUUUUUUAUUAUUAACAUUGAUUUAUGUUAUUAAUGAUCCAUUUUUAAUGAUUAUAAGAUUAAGUUACCUUAGGGAUAACAGCGUAAUUUUUUUAGAGAGUUCAUAUCGAUAAAAAAGUUUGCGACCUCGAUGUUGGAUUAAAGAUUAAUUUAGGUGUAGAAGUUUAAAUUUUUGGUCUGUUCGACCAUUAAAUCUUUACAUGAUCUGAGUUCAGACCGGUGUAAGCCAGGUCGGUUUCUAUCUUUAUUUAAUUAGAAUAUUUUAGUACGAAAGGACCAAAUAUUUAAUAUACUUAUAUUUUAAUUUUUGAAUGUUAAUAAAUUAUUUUGGCAGAUUAGUGUAAUGAAUUUAGAAUUCACA
This 1363-nucleotide ribosomal RNA is filed under the name Amara ovata. Its description in RNAcentral is "16S ribosomal RNA". Lineage: Eukaryota; Metazoa; Arthropoda; Insecta; Coleoptera; Carabidae. The record is from RNAcentral.